GGUGAUAGAAGUUACGCUGAGGUACAGCUGGUGAAGGCUAGACCGUCCAAAUUUACAGCAGAUCACUUCCAGCCUUCGCGGUUUUUGCGGCCACCUAGCCUAAGUAGACCAGUCCUUCGUAGGAUGCAGCCCCUAAAUUUGGACACAGCACUCAGACGCUCCACCAAUGGAUGGCAUUUAAGGUGCUUGAGGUUUGGGCAUGCCAUUCUUUUUGACAGACACUUCAGAAUGCCUGUGAGAAUAGUGUGGAAAAUUUGUAGAAUUCCAUGGACGAGUGUCAGAUGAGGUGGAAUGUCUCUGAUGUAUGCUAGCGGACGAGCUCCUUAGGAAGUUACAUCGUCCGUCUGCUGCGUUCUCUAGAUGGAGAACAUAACCAACAACUUGCUGUGCAUACAUUACACAUAGUACGAAUAACUGAAGGCAGGUUAUUAACAUGCUGAUGAAUUAAACAUGCUCUUAAAUACCAUUGGA
Molecule: long non-coding RNA, 471 nt
Organism: Girardinichthys multiradiatus
Lineage: Eukaryota; Metazoa; Chordata; Actinopteri; Cyprinodontiformes; Goodeidae
Exons: 2
Source: RefSeq, a predicted model, not a curated record